CAAAAGCUUGGUCCUGACUUUUCUGUCAGCUUUGGUUAAAUUUAUACAUGCAAGUAUCCGCAUCCCUGUGAGAAUGCCCACAUUUUUUCUUAAACAAAAAAAAGGAGCUAGUAUUAGGCACAACCCUACGUUAGCCUACGACGUUUUGCUUAGCCACACCCCCACGGGAAUUCAGCAGUAAUAAACAUUAAGCAAUAAGUGCAAACUUGACUUAGUUAAAACCAAAAGAACCGGUUAAACUCGUGCCAGCCACCGCGGUUAUACGAGAGGUUCAAGUUGACAACCACCGGCGUAAAAAGUGGCUAAUAUAGUAUUUCACUAAAGCCAAACACCUUCAAAGCUGUCAUAUGCUCUCGAGGGCAGGAAGCUCUUUCACGAAAGUGGCUUUAAAUAAUAUUAUCCCACGAAAGCUAGGAAACAAACUGGGAUUAGAUACCUCACUAUGCCUAGCCUUAAACACAAGCGGUCCCUUACACCUCUUGCUUGCCAGGGAACUACGAGCCCCAACUUAAAACCCAAAGGACUUGGCGGUGCUUUAGACCCCCCUAGAGGAGCCUGUUCUAGAACCGAUAACCCCCGUUUAACCUCACCCUUUCUUGUUUUUCCCGCCUAUAUACCGCCGUCGUCAGCUCACCCUGUGAAGGCCCAAUAGUGAGCAUAAUUGGUAGAACCCAAAACGCCAGGUCGAGGUGUAGCGUACGAAAGGGGAAGAAAUGGGCUACAUUCACUGCCCCAGUGAACACGAAUAAUGUGCUGAAAUAAGCAUUUGAAGGAGGAUUUAGCAGUAAGAGGGAAAUAGAGUGCCCCUCUGAAACUGGCCCUGAAGCGCGCACACACCGCCCGUCACUCUCCCCAAAAAUCAAGAAACCAAUGUAACUAAAAACAAUUAAUAAUAAAGGGGAGGCAAGUCGUAACAUGGUAAGUGUACCGGAAGGUGCACUUGGAAAAAU
RNAcentral lists this non-coding RNA (950 nucleotides) under Wuhanlinigobius polylepis. RNAcentral's name for it is "12S ribosomal RNA". It matches the Rfam family "Bacterial small subunit ribosomal RNA". Lineage: Eukaryota; Metazoa; Chordata; Actinopteri; Gobiiformes; Gobiidae. The record is from RNAcentral.